AUGGAUAACCAAUCCAUUUUCCAAUAUAGUUGGGAGAUUUUACCCAAGAAAUGGGUACAUAAAAUGAAAAGAUCGAAACAUGGGAAUAGAUCUUAUACCAAUACUGACUACCCAUUUCCAUUGUUGUGCUUUCUAAAAUGGCAUACCUUUACAAGGGUUCAAGUUUCGAUCGAUAUUUGCGGAGUGGAUCAUCCCUCUCGAAAACGAAGAUUUGAAGUUGUCCAUAAUUUACUGAGUACUCGGUAUAACUCACGCAUUCGUGCACAAACAAGUGCAUACGAAGUAACACGAAUAUCUCCAGUAGUCAGUCUAUUUCCAUCAGCCGGCCGGUGGGAGCGAGAAGUAUGGGAUAUGUCUGGUGUUUCUUCCAUCAAUCAUCCGGAUUUACGCCGUAUAUCAACAGAUUAUGGUUUCGAGGGUCAUCCAUUACGAAAAGACUUUCCUCUGAGUGGAUAUGUGGAAGUACGCUAUGAUGAUCCAGAGAAACGUGUGGUUUCUGAACCCAUUGAGAUGACCCAAGAAUUUCGCUAUUUCGAUUUUGCUAGUCCUUGGGAACAGCGUAGCGACGGAUAA
This 573-nucleotide ribosomal RNA is filed under the name Triticum aestivum (bread wheat). RNAcentral's name for it is "partial small subunit ribosomal RNA". The record is from RNAcentral. Lineage: Eukaryota; Viridiplantae; Streptophyta; Magnoliopsida; Poales; Poaceae.